UUUAUUUAAAUACAAAAGCAACCCCAAUGCAUAAAGAUGGAAAAUUCGAAUUUUCUAUGGUAUGUGGCUGCUCUGGUUUUACAUAUGAUUACGUUGAUCUUAUUAAACGGUGCUUUAGAUUCACAUGGUCUUUACUGUUUCAGUACAUGCUUGCUUUACAAGCACUGAACACGGCCACAUACCAGUCAGAAUUAGUUUGUAUGAACAUUUUUAAAGUUACUUUGAAAGUAACUCUUACCUUGCGGAUAAAGUAACUCAUUUCCAACUUUCACGACUAAAAAAGAUUUAGCUAUUUUAAAACUUACAAAUUAACUUUUUAAGCUUAGCCAAACAUGUUCAUGGUCUCUUUUCCUUUCCCUUCUCCUUUCCUCCAUGAUUUUCUUGACAAAAAAGGGGGAUAGUGUAUAAUAUUUCACAAUUCUAAAUAUCGGUACAUCUUUUGGUUUAACAUUAUGUGUGCAUUCUUCAAUCUAAACUCUGCUCCUGGUUGUUCUUUGAUUCAGGAGAGACAUGCUACUCCAUGAACGCCCUUCGACCAAGGUCCAUGCUGCACCUGGUGGUGGCUCUUCCUUGGGUUACUUAUUUGGUGAUGGCAGCAAAUGAUGCCCUUAUUCUUGAAAGUGGUUUGAUUGCUUCAACGAAUGCUUAGAAUGUUUGGUCUGUGUGGUUGCUUUAUUGAAUUUUGUUACUGGGUGUAAUCAUCAAAAAAACAAGCAAGACAAGUAUUAAGUGCUAUAUGUAUUAACUGAAUCGAAGUCUCAAUCUUUCAUGUUUUUAUCUCUGUUUCA
Olea europaea var. sylvestris is the source of this 788-nucleotide long non-coding RNA. RefSeq lists it as uncharacterized. NCBI's taxonomy places the organism in Eukaryota, Viridiplantae, Streptophyta, Magnoliopsida, Lamiales, Oleaceae. The transcript is spliced from 2 exons. The record is from RefSeq and is a predicted model, not a curated record.